AAUGAACGCUGGCGGCGCGCCUAAUACAUGCAAGUCGAGCGAGAAGACGUAGCAAUACGUUUGUAAAGCGGCGAACGGGUGAGGAAUACAUGGGUAACCUACCCUAGAGUGGGAAUAACCUAGCCGAAAGGUUAGCUAACUACCGCGUACGCUCCUUGGACUUCGGUUCAGGGAGGAAAGCGAUGCCGAGGGUAUCGCGCUCUUGGAUGGGCUCAUGUCCUAUCAGCUUGNGGUGAGGUAACGGCUCACCAAGGCUUCGACGGGUAGCUGGUCUGAGAGGACGAUCAGCCACACUGGCACUGCGACACGGGCCAGACUCCUACGGGAGGCAGCAGUAGGAAUAUUGCGCAAUGGCGAAAGCCUGACGCAGCGACGCCGCGUGGGGGA
This 387-nucleotide ribosomal RNA is filed under the name uncultured bacterium. Its description in RNAcentral is "bacterial SSU rRNA". It matches the Rfam family "Bacterial small subunit ribosomal RNA", at positions 29 to 408 of the family's 1533-position model. The record is from RNAcentral.